UACAAAAUAAGCAAAAAUAGAGAAGCCACAGUACACCCCAUGGUUUAAUAGCUUGCAGAAGCAUCUUUGGCAGCCAUAACUUUCAGUAUUUGUUUUCAGUAUGACAGUUUUUUGGGUUACUGGAUGCUAAAAACCUUUAAAAACU
This is a long non-coding RNA of Sphaeramia orbicularis (orbiculate cardinalfish), 145 nucleotides long. RefSeq lists it as uncharacterized. The record is from RefSeq and is a predicted model, not a curated record. The transcript has 3 exons. Lineage: Eukaryota; Metazoa; Chordata; Actinopteri; Kurtiformes; Apogonidae.